This is a long non-coding RNA of Gavialis gangeticus (Gharial), 206 nucleotides long. RefSeq lists it as uncharacterized. The record is from RefSeq and is a predicted model, not a curated record. The transcript is spliced from 4 exons. NCBI's taxonomy places the organism in Eukaryota, Metazoa, Chordata, Crocodylia, Gavialidae.
AAAAUAAUCUAAACAUGGAAAAACUAUUAAAUAUUGAGAAAAAACAUUGCAAAAUCUAAAAUAAAUUUUAAAAAAAGACAGAAAACUUGGAAGCUUAUGUACAGAGCAAAUGCCAGGACCUGCAAAACUAAUGCUAGUCCUAGAUUACCUAUUGAUUUAAAAUUUAAAAAAAUAAAUAAAAAAAAAAAAGUAAACUUGGAUAGCUU